Molecule: ribosomal RNA, 330 nt
Filed under: uncultured bacterium
Lineage: Bacteria
Description: bacterial SSU rRNA
Rfam family: Bacterial small subunit ribosomal RNA
Source: RNAcentral
UGUGUAGGCGGUUGUUUAAGUUUGGUGUGAAAUCUCCCGGCUCAACUGGGAGGGUGCGCCAAAUACUGAAUGACUCGAGUGCGGGAGAGGAAAGUGGAAUUCCUGGUGUAGCGGUGAAAUGCGUAGAUAUCAGGAGGAACACCGGUGGUGUAGACGGCUUUCUGGACCGUAACUGACGCUGAGACACGAAAGCGUGGGUAGCAAACAGGAUUAGAUACCCUGGUAGUCCACGCCCUAAACGAUGCAUAUUUGGUGUGGGCAGUUCAUUCUGUCCGUGCCGGAGCUAACGCGUUAAAUAUGCCGCCUGGGGAGUACAGUCGCAAGGCUGAA